RNAcentral lists this ribosomal RNA (354 nucleotides) under uncultured microorganism. Its description in RNAcentral is "bacterial SSU rRNA". It matches the Rfam family "Bacterial small subunit ribosomal RNA", at positions 9 to 352 of the family's 1533-position model. The record is from RNAcentral.
GAGUUUGAUCGUGGCUCAGGACGAACGCUGGCGGCGUGCCUAAUACAUGCAAGUCGAGCGGAUCUUCAUUAGCUUGCUUUUGAAGAUCAGCGGCGGACGGGUGAGUAACACGUGGGCAACCUGCCUGUAAGACUGGGAUAACUUCGGGAAACCGGAGCUAAUACCGGAUAAUCCUUUUCCUCUCAUGAGGAAAAGCUGAAAGACGGUUUCGGCUGUCACUUACAGAUGGGCCCGCGGCGCAUUAGCUAGUUGGUGAGGUGACGGCUCACCAAGGCGACGAUGCGUAGCCGACCUGAGAGGGUGAUCGGCCACACUGGGACUGAGACACGGCCCAGACUCCUACGGGAGGGCAGC